UAUAAAUCACCACCUUGGACCCCCUGUUUGAAUCACUUUUGCAACUAUUUUCCACCCAUCUGGAAGUGCUGCCUGAUCAUCAACCAGCAAGAUGACCAAACUUUGCGUCGCUUUGCUCUCAGCUCUGGUGCUGGCUUUGUGCCUCUCACUUCAGGUGGUCCAGGCCGCUGAGGGCAACAACGCCACCACCGCCACCCCCUCCAAAAACAGCGGUGAACGGGCCAUGGCGGUUCCACUGCUCCUUCUCCCGUUGACCUUUCCUAUUAUCUUCUUUCAUGACUGGUUUCUGUAAAGGAUUACUCCAACUGUCCUGUCGGUCCAGCUGGACAGGGGGAUGCAGAUGUCAUCUUCUUCAAUUUGAGGGUUCCCCAAAGAAAACUGUCUUAAUCACCGAACCAGGACGUGCCCUGUUACCAUCUGCAUGUUUUCCCGAUCCCUGCUGGGUGUUUCAUGGACUCUAUUAUUCGGGUAGUACAAGGUGCCUGUGUAGUAACUAGCCUUGUUUUAGGGGGUGGGUGAAAAUGUUAGUGUUUUUAUUUUUUCAAGAAACUUCUUCUGAAUUACUUCACUGCAAAGAUUUAUCUAUUUAAAUAAUCAUGACAAUUGGUACAUAAAUAAAGUUUUAAAAUGACAUUUUCCUUUCUUUUUUUUCCCAUUUUAAAUAUUGUUGUCUUUAUUGGUCUCUCAGUUGGAACCCUUGUUUUAGCUCUCAGUGCUUGUAUGUGAACUUCGAAUUUAAUAAAGCACUGGUUGGGAUGUUUCACUGGUUUCUGUCAGUGCAGAAACAUUACUAUUAUACAUUGAAGGGUGAUAUUUGGCAAUAAAUUGCAGAUGUAACUCCCAAAA
Long non-coding RNA from Cyprinodon tularosa, 846 nucleotides. RefSeq lists it as uncharacterized. The record is from RefSeq and is a predicted model, not a curated record. The transcript has 2 exons. Lineage: Eukaryota; Metazoa; Chordata; Actinopteri; Cyprinodontiformes; Cyprinodontidae.